GACGAACGCUGGCGGCGUGCCUAACACAUGCAAGUCGAACGGGGUGAUUCCUUCGGGGAUCACUUAGUGGCGAACGGGUGAGUAACGCGUGAGGAACCUGCCUUUCAGUGGGGGACAACAGUUGGAAACGACUGCUAAUACCGCAUAACAUGUACGGAUCGCAUGGUCUGUACAUCAAAGCUUUAUGUGCUGAAAGAUGGCCCUCGCGUCUGAUUAGCUAGUUGGUGGGGUAACGGCCCACCAAGGCGACGAUCAGUAGCCGGUCUGAGAGGAUGAACGGCCACAUUGGGACUGAGAUACGGCCCAGACUCCUACGGGAGGCAGCAGUGGGGAA
This 334-nucleotide ribosomal RNA is filed under the name uncultured bacterium. Its description in RNAcentral is "bacterial SSU rRNA". It matches the Rfam family "Bacterial small subunit ribosomal RNA", at positions 28 to 361 of the family's 1533-position model. The record is from RNAcentral.